RNAcentral lists this ribosomal RNA (427 nucleotides) under uncultured prokaryote. RNAcentral describes it as "bacterial SSU rRNA". It matches the Rfam family "Bacterial small subunit ribosomal RNA", at positions 355 to 796 of the family's 1533-position model. The record is from RNAcentral.
UGGGGAAUUUUCCGCAAUGGGCGAAAGCCUGACGGAGCAAUACCGCGUGAGGGAGGAAGGCUUUUGGGUUGUAAACCUCUUUUAUUAAGGAAGAAGAAAGUGACGGUACUUAAAGAAUCAGCAUCGGCUAACUCCGUGCCAGCAGCCGCGGUAAUACGGAGGAUGCAAGCGUUAUCCGGAAUCAUUGGGCGUAAAGCGUCCGCAGGUGGCUAAUCAAGUCUGCUGUUAAAGACGGAAGCUUAACUUCUGAAAAGCAGUGGAAACUGGUAAGCUAGAGUACGGUAGGGGUUGAGGGAAUUCCUAGUGUAGCGGUGAAAUGCGUAGAGAUUAGGAAGAACACCGGUGGCGAAAGCGCUCUGCUAGGCCGCAACUGACACUGAGGGACGAAAGCUAGGGGAGCGAAUGGGAUUAGAAACCCCUGUAGUCC